RNAcentral lists this ribosomal RNA (467 nucleotides) under uncultured bacterium. RNAcentral's name for it is "partial 16S ribosomal RNA". It matches the Rfam family "Bacterial small subunit ribosomal RNA", at positions 28 to 506 of the family's 1533-position model. The record is from RNAcentral.
GACGAACGCUGGCGGCGUGCUUAACACAUGCAAGUCGAACGGAAAGGCCCUGCUUUUGUGGGGUGCUCGAGUGGCGAACGGGUGAGUAACACGUGAGUAACCUGCCCUUGACUUUGGGAUAACUUCAGGAAACUGGGGCUAAUACCGGAUAGGAGCUCCUGCUGCAUGGUGGGGGUUGGAAAGUUUCGGCGGUUGGGGAUGGACUCGCGGCUUAUCAGCUUGUUGGUGGGGUAGUGGCUUACCAAGGCUUUGACGGGUAGCCGGCCUGAGAGGGUGACCGGCCACAUUGGGACUGGGAUACGGCCCAGACUCCUACGGGCGGCAGCAGUGGGGAAUAGUGCACAAUGGGCGGAAGCCUGAUGCAGCAACGCCGCGUGCGGGAUGACGGCCUUCGGGUUGUAAACCGCUUUCGCCUGUGACGAAGCGUGAGUGACGGUAAUGGGUAAAGAAGCACCGGCUAACUACGU